Molecule: ribosomal RNA, 406 nt
Filed under: uncultured bacterium
Lineage: Bacteria
Description: partial 16S ribosomal RNA
Rfam family: Bacterial small subunit ribosomal RNA
Source: RNAcentral
AUUGAACGCUGGCGGCAGGCCUAACACAUGCAAGUCGAACGAGUGGCGGACGGGUGAGUAAUGUCUGGGAAACUGCCUGAUGGAGGGGAAUACUUCCUGGAAACGUUACCUAUUACCCCAUACCAUCGAAUUUCCCCAGAUGGGAUUAGCUAGUAGGUGGGGUAAAGGCUAACCUAGGGACCGAUCCCUAGCUGGUCUGAGAGGAUGACCAGCCACACUGGAACUGAGACACGGUCCAGACUCCUACGGGAGGCAGCAGUGGGGAAUAUUGCACAAUGGGCGCAAGCCUGAUGCAGCCAUGCCGCGUGUAUGAAGAAGGCCUUCGGGUUGUAAAGUACUUUCAGCGGGGAGGCGUUACCCGCAGAAGAAGCACCGGCUAACUCCGUGCCAGCAGCCGCGGUAAUAC